AUUGAACGCUGGCGGCAGGCCUAACACAUGCAAGUCGAACGGUAACAGGAAACAGCUUGCUGUUUCGCUGACGAGUGGCGGACGGGUGAGUAAUGUCUGGGAAACUGCCUGAUGGAGGGGGAUAACUACUGGAAACGGUAGCUAAUACCGCAUAACGUCGCAAGGCCAAAGAGGGGGACCUUCGGGCCUCUUGCCAUCGGAUGUGCCCAGAUGGGAUUAGCUAGUAGGUGGGGUAACGGCUCACCUAGGCGACGACCCCUAGCUGGUCUGAGAGGAUGACCAGCCACACUGGAACGGAGACACGGUCCAGACUCCUACGGGAGGCAGCAGUGGGGAAUAUUGCACAAUGGGCGCAAGCCUGAUGCAGCCAUGCCGCGUGUAUGAAGAAGGCCUUCGGGUUGUAAAGUACUUUCAGCGGGGAGGAAGGGAGUAAAGUUAAUACCUUGACUCAUUGACGUUACCCGCAGAAGAAGCACCGGCUAACUCCGUG
RNAcentral lists this ribosomal RNA (490 nucleotides) under uncultured bacterium. RNAcentral's name for it is "partial 16S ribosomal RNA". It matches the Rfam family "Bacterial small subunit ribosomal RNA", at positions 30 to 507 of the family's 1533-position model. The record is from RNAcentral.